CUCUGGCCUUAGGUAGUGAUUCUAGCGGAGACUCCUGAGGUAAAUGCCUCAAUGAUGUCUCACCACAGCUCACCUAGGCUGGGUGAGUUACCUCAGUCCCACCAAGUGGGGCGUUUCCCUCAGGGAAUGAGGGGGCUUCUGGCUCCUGAAUGGUUUUAGCCAAGGCGCAAGUUUUUAGGAGUAAAAUAUUGGUGGGAUCUGAUGUGUCCUGUUAAAAGGACCAAACUGCCUCAGGCACUACGUGAAAUGAGUCAAGACUGAAGACAUCAAAAGUUAGCCAAAUGUACCCUGUAGGUCUCCCUUAACAUGAAACUCUGAAGCCAGAUCUUGCCCUUGGCUUUGCUUGCAGGAAGAGGGCCUACCGUUUCUGGCGUGGGCAUUGGUGGUAUAGAAGCCAUUCCUUAUAGGGAGACGGCCUGUCAGGAGUGCUGCCCUGGCUGAAGAGAAAAGAGAAACAUGAAGACGACAGCAGAUCCACCAAGCCUGACUUUCUUUCAAGCACCCAACAAUGAAUAUAGUUCUUCUGUUUCAGCGUCAAUACAGGGAAUCCUUGACUUACGACCACAAUUGGGCCCGGAAUUACAGUUGUAAGUCACGCUGCUCAUUAAGCGGGUUACCAUGUGACCA
This is a non-coding RNA of Pantherophis guttatus, 627 nucleotides long. The record is from RefSeq and is a predicted model, not a curated record. Lineage: Eukaryota; Metazoa; Chordata; Lepidosauria; Squamata; Colubridae.